Molecule: ribosomal RNA, 495 nt
Filed under: uncultured bacterium
Lineage: Bacteria
Description: bacterial SSU rRNA
Rfam family: Bacterial small subunit ribosomal RNA
Source: RNAcentral
GAUGAACGCUAGCGGCAGGCUUAACACAUGCAAGUCGAGGGGCAGCACGUCUUCGGAUGGUGGCGACCGGCGCACGGGUGCGUAACGCGUAUAGAACCUACCUUUUACAGGGGAAUAGCCCAGAGAAAUUUGGAUUAAUGCCCCAUAGUAUUAUUGAAUGGCAUCAUUUAAUAAUUAAACAUUUAUGGGUAAAAGAUGGCUAUGCGUUCUAUUAGCUAGUAGGUAAGGUAACGGCUUACCUAGGCAACGAUAGAUAGGGGUCCUGAGAGGGAGAUCCCCCACACUGGUACUGAGACACGGACCAGACUCCUACGGGAGGCAGCAGUGAGGAAUAUUGGACAAUGGGCGAGAGCCUGAUCCAGCCAUGCCGCGUGCAGGAAGACGGUCCUAUGGAUUGUAAACUGCUUUUUAUACAGGAAGAAACACUCGGACGUGUCCGAGCUUGACGGUACUGUAUGAAUAAGCACCGGCUAACUCCGUGCCAGCAGCCGACGG